This 490-nucleotide ribosomal RNA is filed under the name uncultured bacterium. Its description in RNAcentral is "bacterial SSU rRNA". It matches the Rfam family "Bacterial small subunit ribosomal RNA", at positions 21 to 507 of the family's 1533-position model. The record is from RNAcentral.
GGCUCAGAUUGAACGCUGGCGGAAUGCUUUACACAUGCAAGUCGAGCGGCAGCGCGGGGCAGCCCUGGCGGCGAGCGGCGAACGGGUGAGUAACAUAUCGGAACGUACCCAGUCGUGGGGGAUAACUAUCCGAAAGGAUAGCUAAUACCGCAUACGUCCUGAGGGAGAAAGCGGGGGAUCGCAAGACCUCGCGCGAUUGGAGCGGCCGAUAUCGGAUUAGCUAGUUGGUGGGGUAAAGGCUCACCAAGGCGACGAUCCGUAGCGGGUCUGAGAGGACGACCCGCCACACUGGGACUGAGACACGGCCCAGACUCCUACAGGAGGCAGCAGUGGGGAAUUUUGGACAAUGGGGGCAACCCUGAUCCAGCAACGCCGCGUGAAUGAAGAAGGCCUUCGGGUUGUAAAGUUCUUUUGUCUGGGGGCAAAUCUGUGUGGUGAAUAGCCAUGUAGGAUGAGAGUACCAGAAGAAUAAGCACCGGCUAACUACGUG